Molecule: long non-coding RNA, 2005 nt
Organism: Entelurus aequoreus (snake pipefish)
Lineage: Eukaryota; Metazoa; Chordata; Actinopteri; Syngnathiformes; Syngnathidae
Exons: 3
Source: RefSeq, a predicted model, not a curated record
GCAAAUCAUUGUAUUCAGUUUUUAUUCACGAUUUACACAACGUGCCAACUUCACUGGUUUUGUACAAAAUAUGUUGGCGGUUAGCGAUAAACAAAUCCAUAAAUUAGCCGCGCCCGUUUUAUAAGCCGCGGGGUCCAAAAAAAGCGUAGGAAAAAAGUAGCGGCUUGUAGUCCGAAAAAUGGGGUAACUAUUUAUGACACUUAUAUUAAAUAUAUGUCUUCAGUCCGUUUCGAUAUCAACACCCAUCUCUAAUCCUGCCUGCUGUAUCGAGCUCGUCUACUAUUGUUGGUUGUAAAGAUCGUGUUGCCCUGAGACUUUUGCACUGUACUGUAUUUUGUUGUAUCCUACUACUACUACUACUAAUAAUAAUAAUAAUAGGGGCGAGUUGUGACACUGUUAGCGCACCGCUGGUAGCACCUUGGAAGGGUUGGCAGCACCUGGAUGCAACUAUGCUGUUGAUGAUCGGGUCUGAGGAAAGCGUGUUGCCGCCCGCUCCUGGUUCCUGCUGUGGGACUCGGGCUAAACCAGCACUCCUUCCUAGAGGACAGCUCCGUGAAGCCCAGCACCAACUUGUCUUGCCAGCAGGACACAGGCCAGUUACACAAUAGGGCUUUGACCUUUGAACUCAGGACCAUGUUAUGUGUUGUCGUGAGUUUACCGUGCGGGGAAAAAAAAAGCAGGACUCCGUCGUGUCACGGCUCCAUCCGGCACCAACAGGAGCAAUCGCUAUGGCAACAGUCAAACUGAUCUGUGUUCUACUUCAUCCCAAAGGUGUUUGACAGGGUUGAGGUCAGGGCUCUCAACUUCUUCCACAUCCAACUCAUAAUGAUAACGAUCGGGACACUUGACUCGCUCGAGUCACGGGGCGCGUGCAAGUUCGUACAUUGAGUCGAACGCCGUUUGGAACAUGUUGGCUGGUCUCCUUUUUUUUUGGAUUAAGCUAGCGGUCGCAGGGGCGAGUAAGUGAGGGAGUUAACGGAGACCAGUACCCGCGAGUCAGGUUUGGUUGAACAAGAGCAGUGGUUCUCAAACUUUUUUUUACCAAGUAUCACCUCGGAAACCACUUGGCUCUCCAAGAAACGCCCUAAUGACCAUUAAUAAAAUACAGUAGCGUAGUAGGGCGAAGUAUUCAUUAAAAACAAGUCAGGGUUUUAUUUAAACAAGUAUAUUCAAUAUUUUUGCCCCCGGUUUGAAAAGUAACACUGUGUUUGAAUACAGGAAAACAAAACACUACUUUAAUCAAGUUAUUCUUUGGCGUACCACUAGAUGGAGCCCACGUACCACAGUUUGAGAAUCACUGGUCUGGACUGUCAAACAAUGAGCUGUUAAGAACCAGGCGUAUGAUAUUUCCAUCCUCUCGAUACAUGACUGAGCAAACACAAAGAGGACACGUCCUGCACUGGGCCGGAUGACGUGCGUCCUCACAGCCAUGCGGGGGCGCUGUUUUGCCAGUUUGUUUUUUUCCUCCCAACAGUGCUGCUAGUUUUUAAUGAAGGUAAAACUGAAUUAUGAAUUAUACCUUACACAAGUGAUAUUUCAAACGAUACGGACAAGGAGUGAUACUGUGUAUUUUGAUACCUCGAUGUGUGUGUCACUUUAAAAGACAAAAACAAAAAAAACAACACCACGUGACCGAUACAGCUGCUUUGUCAUUUGACUGUUUUUAUCAGAGGGCGCUUCUGAGCGUGCGAGCGACAGCUCGUACGGCAAGGAGUGGCGUGCUGCUUUUGACAUCGGUUUACAUGACAGAGUUUGGAUUUGAUAUCGCCAAAUAAGAUGGUGCCAUUACGAAACACCAACACAGUGUCAGUGCAGCGUCAAUACAGCCAUGGAUAUUUGUGGUGACACGGCUGUGAUGAAGAGGAGUAAAAAUGACAAAUAUAUAGCACACAAUGAAUCCCAGGCACUUUCACUACAGCGCAGAGCCAGUGGUCUCUUCUCUUUGUUUGUUUUCUAUCAUGUAUAUGCAAUGUUCAUGAAAACAGAUGUUAUUCAUUAAAAAAAA